Molecule: ribosomal RNA, 379 nt
Filed under: uncultured eukaryote
Lineage: Eukaryota
Description: partial 18S ribosomal RNA
Rfam family: Eukaryotic small subunit ribosomal RNA
Source: RNAcentral
CAAUAGCGUAUAUUUAAGUUGUUGCAGUUAAAAAGCUCGUAGUUGGAUUUCGGAUGGGACUUGCCGGUCCGUCGUUUCGAUGUGCACUGGCCAGUCCUAUCUUGUUGUCGGGGACUAGCUCCUGGGCUUCACUGUCCGGGACUAGGAGCUGACGAGGUUACUUUGAGUAAAUUAGAGUGUUCAAAGCAAGCCUACGCUCUGAAUACAUUAGCAUGGAAUAACACGAUAGGACUCUGGCUUGUCUUGUUGGUCUGUGAGACCAGAGUAAUGAUUAAGAGGGACAGUCGGGGGCAUUCGUAUUUCAUUGUCAGAGGUGAAAUUCUUGGAUUUAUGAAAGACGAACUUCUGCGAAAGCAUUUGUCAAGGAUGUUUUCAUUAA